UUUUUCUCGGGAUAGCUGGAGCUCGUGUGAGAAUUUUAUCAAGUAAAGCGAAUGAUUGGAGGUAUCGGGGGUGUAAUGCCCUCGACCUAUUCUCAAACUUUACAUAGAUAAGCCGUCAGGGCAAGGAACUGGGACUGGGACUCGCAGUGGAACCGAGACUCGCACCA
This 167-nucleotide non-coding RNA is filed under the name Physcomitrium patens. Its description in RNAcentral is "Physcomitrella patens Eukaryotic large subunit ribosomal RNA". It matches the Rfam family "Eukaryotic large subunit ribosomal RNA", at positions 967 to 1106 of the family's 3401-position model. Lineage: Eukaryota; Viridiplantae; Streptophyta; Bryopsida; Funariales; Funariaceae. The record is from Rfam by way of RNAcentral.